CGAGGUAGAUAGGGCAGAGGUGGAAGCAUGGCAACAUGUGCAGCUGACUGUCACUAAUAGGUCGAGGGCUUAACCAAG
This 78-nucleotide ribosomal RNA is filed under the name Hungatella hathewayi. RNAcentral describes it as "partial 23S ribosomal RNA". Lineage: Bacteria; Bacillati; Bacillota; Clostridia; Lachnospirales; Lachnospiraceae. The record is from RNAcentral.